RNAcentral lists this ribosomal RNA (518 nucleotides) under Cytospora populinopsis. RNAcentral's name for it is "Cytospora sp. XF-2019k partial large subunit ribosomal RNA". It matches the Rfam family "Eukaryotic large subunit ribosomal RNA", at positions 89 to 630 of the family's 3401-position model. The record is from RNAcentral. Lineage: Eukaryota; Fungi; Ascomycota; Sordariomycetes; Diaporthales; Cytosporaceae.
GCGAGUGAAGCGGCAACAGCUCAAAUUUGAAAGCUGGCUUAGGCCCGCAUUGUAAUUUGCAGAGGAUGCUUUUGGCGAGGUGCCUUCCGAGUUCCCUGGAACGGGACGCCAUAGAGGGUGAGAGCCCCGUAUGGAUGGACACCAAACCUGUGUAAAGCUCCUUCAACGAGUCGAGUAGUUUGGGAAUGCUGCUCUAAAUGGGAGGUAAAUCUCUUCUAAAGCUAAAUACCGGCCAGAGACCGAUAGCGCACAAGUAGAGUGAUCGAAAGAUGAAAAGCACCUUGAAAAGGGGGUUAAACAGUACGUGAAAUUGUUGAAAGGGAAGCGCUUGUGACCAGACUUGCGCCGGGCAGCUCAUCAGGGGUUCUCCCCUGUGCACUCUGCCCGGCUCAGGCCAGCAUCGGUUCUCGUGGGAGGAUAAGAACGGUAGGAACGUGGCCCCCCUCCGGGGGGGUGUUAUAGCCUACCGUACGAUACUCCCGUGGGGACCGAGGUUCGCGCUCCGCAAGGAUGCUGGC